Molecule: ribosomal RNA, 521 nt
Filed under: uncultured organism
Description: SSU rRNA
Rfam family: Bacterial small subunit ribosomal RNA
Source: RNAcentral
ACAGCUAGAGUUUGAUCCUGGCUCAGGAUGAACGCUAGCUACAGGCUUAACACAUGCAAGUUGCGGGGCAGCGGGAAUGAAGCUUGCUUCAUUUGCCGGCGACCGGCGCACGGGUGCGUAACGCGUAUCGAACCUGCCCCAGUCAGGGGGACAGCCCUCUGAAAGGAGGAUUAAUACCCCAUGGUUCCCUUUUGCUGCAUGGUGAGAGGGAUAAAGGAGAGAUCCGGACUGGGAUGGCGGUGCGUAGGAUUAGCUGGUAGGCGGGGUAACGGCCCACCUAGGCGACGAUCCUUAGGGGUUCUGAGAGGAAGGUCCCCCACACUGGUACUGAGACACGGACCAGACUCCUACGGGAGGCAGCAGUGAGGAAUAUUGGUCAAUGGCCGCGAGGCUGAACCAGCCAAGUAGCGUGCAGGAGGACGGCCCUCUGGGUUGUAAACUGCUUUUAUACGGGAACAAAGUGCCUUACGUGAUAGGGUUUUGCGUGUACCGUAGGAAUAAGGACCGGCUAAUUCCGUGCC